AUUACUGUUAGGCGCAGCAGAGCACAGUUUGUAGUGAUGCUGGGACUGGGAGCUGGAGCGCUAGCAGCCUAACUGCCUGAGUGAGUGCCUUCACCCAAGGCCUGCAGUGUACUUUGAUUUUUUUGGAGUGUACUUACAAACAGUCCUUGAUCACCACUAAAACCAACAGUGUUCUUCACCCUUCGGAGUGGACUUCAGAAUAGCCCUACAUUUUCACCCAAGCUUAUGGUGUUAUACGAUCCUUUGGACUAGACUUGGGAAUACUUAAUUAGGUCUACAUCUUCUGCAGCUGUCCUCUGACAGAGAUUUUCACAUUGAUUAUUGAAAAGUAGACUUUUAAAACAUUGAAGACAUCU
Pseudophryne corroboree (corroboree frog) is the source of this 356-nucleotide long non-coding RNA. RefSeq lists it as uncharacterized. The record is from RefSeq and is a predicted model, not a curated record. The transcript is spliced from 3 exons. Lineage: Eukaryota; Metazoa; Chordata; Amphibia; Anura; Myobatrachidae.